Molecule: ribosomal RNA, 414 nt
Filed under: uncultured microorganism
Description: partial 16S ribosomal RNA
Rfam family: Archaeal small subunit ribosomal RNA
Source: RNAcentral
CAGCCGCCGCGGUAAUUCCGGCGGCCCGAGUGGUGGCCGCUAUUAUUGGGCCUAAAGCGUCCGUAGCCGGGCCCGUAAGUCCCUGGCGAAAUCCCACGGCUCAACCGUGGGGCUUGCUGGGGAUACUGCGGGCCUUGGGACCGGGAGAGGCGGGGGGGGCCCCCGGGGGAGGGGGGAAAUCCUAUAAUCCCGGGGGGACCGCCAGUGGCGAAGGCGCCCCGCUGGAACGGGUCCGACGGUGAGGGACGAAGGCCAGGGGAGCAAACCGGAUUAGAUACCCGGGUAGUCCUGGCUGUAAACGAUGCGGACUUUGUGUCGGACAAGCUAUGAGCUUGUCCGGUGCCGGAGGGAAACCGUUAAGUCCGCCGCCUGGGGAGUACGGCCGCAAGGCUGAAACUUAAAGGAAUUGGCGGG